This 388-nucleotide ribosomal RNA is filed under the name uncultured bacterium. Its description in RNAcentral is "bacterial SSU rRNA". It matches the Rfam family "Bacterial small subunit ribosomal RNA", at positions 29 to 427 of the family's 1533-position model. The record is from RNAcentral.
AGUGAAUGCUGGCGGCGUGCUUAACACAUGCAAGUCGAACGAGCAAGUGCUGUAGUAAUACAGAUUACUGCUAGUGGCAGACGGGUGAGUAAUACAUGGGAAUCUGCCUUGAAGUCUGGGAUAACUGUUGGAAACGACAGCUAAUACCGGAUAUUGCCGAGAGGUGAAAGAUUUAUCGCUUCAAGAUGAGCCCAUGCAAGAUUAGCUAGUUGGUGAGGUAAUGGCUCACCAAGGCGAAGAUCUUUAGCUGGUCUAAGAGGAUGAUCAGCCACACUGGAACUGAGACACGGUCCAGACUCCUACGGGAGGCAGCAGUGGGGAAUAUUGGACAAUGGGCGAAAGACCUGAUCCAGCGACGCCGCGUGAGUGAAGAAGGCCUCGUGUAGUA